CCUGCCCACUGGAAUAUUUUAAAUGGCCGCAGUAAUUUGACUGUGCAAAGGUAGCAUAAUCAUUAGUUUUUUAAUUAAAAGCUUGUAUGAAGGGUUGGACGAGAUAAAAUCUGUCUUUAUUUAAAUAAUAUUAGAAUUUAAUUUUUAGUUAAAAAGCUUAAAUUUAUGUAAAAGACGAGAAGACCCUAUAGAUCUUUAUAUUAUUAUAAUUUAAUUUUAAUUAAGAAUAUUUAAUUUUUUAUUUUUAUAUAAUAUUUUAUUGGGGUAAUAAAAAGAUUUAAUUAAUUCUUUUUGAUAUUUUACAUUGAUUAAUGAAUUUAUGAUCCAUAUUUUAUGAUUAUAAGAUUAAGUUACCUUAGGGAUAACAGCGUAAUUUUUUUAGAGAGUUCAUAUCGAUAAAAAAGUUUGCGACCUCGAUGUUGGAUUAAAAAUUGUUUUAGGCGCAGAAGUUUAAAAAUUUGGUCUGUUCGACCAUUAAAUUUUUACAUGAUCUGAGUUCAGACCGGUGUAAGCCAGGUUGGUUUCUAUCUUUAUAUAUUUUAUAAUAUUUUAGUACGAAAGGACCAAAUAUUUAAUAUAUUAAUAUUUAUAUUUUUGAAUAUUAUU
This 606-nucleotide ribosomal RNA is filed under the name Papuadytes sp. MB066. RNAcentral describes it as "partial 16S ribosomal RNA". The stretch from base 361 to 519 matches the Rfam family "Bacterial large subunit ribosomal RNA", at positions 2473 to 2632 of the family's 2925-position model. The record is from RNAcentral. Lineage: Eukaryota; Metazoa; Arthropoda; Insecta; Coleoptera; Dytiscidae.